GAUGAACGCUGGCGGCGUGCCUAAUACAUGCAAGUCGAGCGAACAGACGAGGAGCUUGCUCCUCUGACGUUAGUGGCGGACGGGUGAGUAACACGUGGAUAACCUACCUAUAAGACUGGGAUAACUUCGGGAAACCGGAGCUAAUACCGGAUAAUAUAUUGAACCGCAUGGUUCAAUAGUGAAAGACGGUUUUGCUGUCACUUAUAGAUGGAUCCGCGCCGCAUUAGCUAGUUGGUAAGGUAACGGCUUACCAAGGCAACGAUGCGUAGCCGACCUGAGAGGGUGAUCGGCCACACUGGAACUGAGACACGGUCCAGACUCCUACGGGAGGCAGCAGUAGGGAAUCUUCCGCAAUGGGCGAAAGCCUGACGGAGCAACGACGCGUGAGUGAUGAAGGUCUUCGGAUCGUAAAACUCUGUUAUUAGGGAAGAACAAAUGUGUAAGUAACUAUGCACGUCUUGACGGUACCUAAUCAGAAAGCCACGGCUAACUACGUG
Molecule: ribosomal RNA, 497 nt
Filed under: uncultured bacterium
Lineage: Bacteria
Description: partial 16S ribosomal RNA
Rfam family: Bacterial small subunit ribosomal RNA
Source: RNAcentral